This 907-nucleotide long non-coding RNA is filed under the name Homo sapiens (human). Its description in RNAcentral is "HSALNT0287818". The record is from RNAcentral. Lineage: Eukaryota; Metazoa; Chordata; Mammalia; Primates; Hominidae.
AUUUUUUGUAGAGACCGGGUUUCACCGUGUUAGCCGGGAUGGUCUCGAUCUCCUGACCUUGUGAUCCGCCCGCCUCGGUCUUUAUUACAAGGCCCAGGGGGUGUCUGUCAGUGGGACGACCUUGUUUCCCCUCCACGUCUCCUCUCAUACUUCAAAUUACUUCUCCUAUGCAUUUGGAGAGCGGGAGAGAAAAACACCAGGAAGGAAGAGGGAACAAAGAAACUCUACAGGCAGAGACACAGGACUGAGCCGCGUUGGGGGCACUGGGAGGAGUGAGCCUUGGGGUUGCACCCUCGGAGCCCCACUGUCCUGGGAGCAGCCUUCAGAACCACCCUUUUGUUCUCUGAAGUACCAGGCGUUCAGCUUUUCCAAGGACUGGCAGCUGCACAUCUUUGUCCCUGCCCCUUCCAUCUCUAGGCUCAGCCCCGCUGGGCAGCCUGGCCCACUCCCCACCCCUGCCCAGGGCCAACCCCUACUUCCCAUGCCCCCUCUGCCCACCUGCAGCACACUGGAGCCUUGGAGGCCCUCUCUGCAUCAUUCAAGAUGCAGACUCCUACACUUUGACCUGCACACAUCCUCCUGAAGCUUCCACUUCCUGGCCCCUGCCUGGCUUCUCACCUCCCCCACCUCCGCCCCCCAGGGGAUGUGCCGCCUCUCCCAGUGGCCCAGGACAUCCUCCACUUCCCGGGAACCCCAGGCACUUCCACAUCCUCAGACACAGUGAGAAGAUGACCCUCUCUCCAAGCCAGGAAGAGACCUCCCGAGGAGCCCAGCCAGCCAGCACGCUGACCUCCAACGUCCAGCCUCUGGAAAUGGGAUACCGAAGGCUGCGCUCCUGCCCCGCACCAGGAUGUGGGAACUUUGAGAACCGCUGGAGAGUCGAGAGAUGUCAUCGAAACGACACCCG